RNAcentral lists this ribosomal RNA (253 nucleotides) under uncultured bacterium. RNAcentral's name for it is "partial 16S ribosomal RNA". It matches the Rfam family "Bacterial small subunit ribosomal RNA", at positions 524 to 776 of the family's 1533-position model. The record is from RNAcentral.
UACGUAGGGUGCAAGCGUUAUUCGGAAUUACUGGGCGUAAAGCGUGCGCAGGCGGCUUUGCAAGUCAGAUGUGAAAUCCCCGGGCUUAACCUGGGAACUGCAUUUGUGACUGCAUGGCUGGAGUGCGGCAGAGGGGGAUGGAAUUCCGCGUGUAGCAGUGAAAUGCGUAGAUAUGCGGAGGAACACCGAUGGCGAAGGCAAUCCGCUGGGCCUGCACUGACGCUCAUGCACGAAAGCGUGGGGAGCAAACAGG